GGUUAAGCGACUAAGCGUACACGGUGGAUGCCCUGGCAGUCAGAGGCGAUGAAGGACGUGCUAAUCUGCGAAAAGCGUCGGUAAGGUGAUAUGAACCGUUAUAGCCGGCGAUGUCCGAAUGGGGAAACCCAGUGCAAUUCGUUGCACUAUCGUUAACUGAAUACAUAGGUUAACGAGGCGAACCGGGGGAACUGAAACAUCUAAGUACCCCGAGGAAAAGAAAUCAACCGAGAUUCCCCCAGUAGCGGCGAGCGAACGGGGAGCAGCCCAGAGUCUGAAUCAGCUUGUGUGUUAGUGGAACGGUCUGGAAAGUCCGACGGUACAGGGUGAUAGUCCCGUACACCAAAAUGCACAGGCUGUGAACUCGAAGAGUAGGGCGGGACACGUGGUAUCCUGUCUGAAUAUGGGGGGACCAUCCUCCAAGGCUAAAUACUCCUGACUGACCGAUAGUGAACCAGUACCGUGAGGGAAAGGCGAAAAGAACCCCGGCGAGGGGAGUGAAAAAGAACCUGAAACCGUGUACGUACAAGCAGUGGGAGCACCUUCGGGUGUGACUGCGUACCUUUUGUAUAAUGGGUCAGCGACUUAUAUUCUGUAGCAAGGUUAACCGUAUAGGGGAGCCGCAGGGAAACCGAGUCUUAACUGGGCGUUAAGUUGCAGGGUAUAGACCCGAAACCCGGUGAUCUAGCCAUGGGCAGGUUGAAGGUUGGGUAACACUAACUGGAGGACCGAACCGACUAAUGUUGAAAAAUUAGCGGAUGACUUGUGGCUGGGGGUGAAAGGCCAAUCAAACCGGGAGAUAGCUGGUUCUCCCCGAAAGCUAUUUAGGUAGCGCCUCGUGAAUUCAUCUUCGGGGGUAGAGCACUGUUUCGGCUAGGGGGUCAUCCCGACUUACCAACCCGAUGCAAACUACGAAUACCGAAGAAUGUUAUCACGGGAGACACACGGCGGGUGCUAACGUCCGUCGUGAAGAGGGAAACAACCCAGACCGCCAGCUAAGGUCCCAAAGUCAUGGUUAAGUGGGAAACGAUGUGGGAAGGCACAGACAGCCAGGAUGUUGGCUUAGAAGCAGCCAUCAUUUAAAGAAAGCGUAAUAGCUCACUGGUCGAGUCGGCCUGCGCGGAAGAUGUAACGGGGCUAAACCAUGCACCGAAGCUGCGGCAGCGACACUAUGUGUUGUUGGGUAGGGGAGCGUUCUGUAAGCCUGCGAAGGUGACCUGUGAGGGUUGCUGGAGGUAUCAGAAGUGCGAAUGCUGACAUAAGUAACGAUAAAGCGGGUGAAAAGCCCGCUCGCCGGAAGACCAAGGGUUCCUGUCCAACGUUAAUCGGGGCAGGGUGAGUCGACCCCUAAGGCGAGGCCGAAAGGCGUAGUCGAUGGGAAACAGGUUAAUAUUCCUGUACUUGGUGUUACUGCGAAGGGGGGACGGAGAAGGCUAUGUUAGCCGGGCGACGGUUGUCCCGGUUUAAGCAUGUAGGCUGGUUGUCCAGGCAAAUCCGGAUAAUCAAGGCUGAGGUGUGAUGACGAGGCACUACGGUGCUGAAGUAACAAAUGCCCUGCUUCCAGGAAAAGCCUCUAAGCAUCAGGUAACAUCAAAUCGUACCCCAAACCGACACAGGUGGUCAGGUAGAGAAUACCAAGGCGCUUGAGAGAACUCGGGUGAAGGAACUAGGCAAAAUGGUGCCGUAACUUCGGGAGAAGGCACGCUGGUGUGUAGGUGAAGUCCCUGCGGAUGGAGCUGAGACCAGUCGAAGAUACCAGCUGGCUGCAACUGUUUAUUAAAAACACAGCACUGUGCAAACACGAAAGUGGACGUAUACGGUGUGACGCCUGCCCGGUGCCGGAAGGUUAAUUGAUGGGGUUAUCCGUAAGGAGAAGCUCUUGAUCGAAGCCCCGGUAAACGGCGGCCGUAACUAUAACGGUCCUAAGGUAGCGAAAUUCCUUGUCGGGUAAGUUCCGACCUGCACGAAUGGCGUAAUGAUGGCCAGGCUGUCUCCACCCGAGACUCAGUGAAAUUGAACUCGCUGUGAAGAUGCAGUGUACCCGCGGCAAGACGGAAAGACCCCGUGAACCUUUACUAUAGCUUGACACUGAACAUUGAGCCUUGAUGUGUAGGAUAGGUGGGAGGCUUUGAAGCGUGGACGCCAGUCUGCGUGGAGCCAACCUUGAAAUACCACCCUUUAAUGUUUGAUGUUCUAACGUUGGCCCCUUACCGGGGUUGCGGACAGUGUCUGGUGGGUAGUUUGACUGGGGCGGUCUCCUCCCAAAGCGUAACGGAGGAGCACGAAGGUUAGCUAAUCCUGGUCGGACAUCAGGAGGUUAGUGCAAUGGCAUAAGCUAGCUUGACUGCGAGCGUGACGGCGCGAGCAGGUGCGAAAGCAGGUCAUAGUGAUCCGGUGGUUCUGAAUGGAAGGGCCAUCGCUCAACGGAUAAAAGGUACUCCGGGGAUAACAGGCUGAUACCGCCCAAGAGUUCAUAUCGACGGCGGUGUUUGGCACCUCGAUGUCGGCUCAUCACAUCCUGGGGCUGAAGUAGGUCCCAAGGGUAUGGCUGUUCGCCAUUUAAAGUGGUACGCGAGCUGGGUUUAGAACGUCGUGAGACAGUUCGGUCCCUAUCUGCCGUGGGCGCUGGAGAAUUGAGGGGGGCUGCUCCUAGUACGAGAGGACCGGAGUGGACGCAUCACUGGUGUUCGGGUUGUCAUGCCAAUGGCACUGCCCGGUAGCUAAAUGCGGAAGAGAUAAGUGCUGAAAGCAUCUAAGCACGAAACUUGCCCCGAGAUGAGUUCUCCCUGAGACUUUAAGUCUCCUGAAGGAACGUUAAAGACGAUGACGUUGAUAGGCCGGGUGUGUAAGCGCAGCGAUGCGUUGAGCUAACCGGUACUAAUGAACCGUGAGGCUUAACCUU
RNAcentral lists this ribosomal RNA (2902 nucleotides) under Klebsiella pneumoniae. RNAcentral describes it as "23S ribosomal RNA". It matches the Rfam family "Bacterial large subunit ribosomal RNA". Lineage: Bacteria; Pseudomonadati; Pseudomonadota; Gammaproteobacteria; Enterobacterales; Enterobacteriaceae. The record is from RNAcentral.